RNAcentral lists this ribosomal RNA (463 nucleotides) under Schistocerca damnifica (Carolina locust). Its description in RNAcentral is "partial 12S ribosomal RNA". Lineage: Eukaryota; Metazoa; Arthropoda; Insecta; Orthoptera; Acrididae. The record is from RNAcentral.
AAAACAGUUGUUUAUAUUUUUAGGGUUAAAUUGUAAAUUUGUAAGGUGAAAUGUUAAAAUUUAUUUAUAGCUCUUUUUAUGAAUCUGUGAAAUUUAAAUAAUAAACUAGGAUUAGAUACCCUAUUAUUUUAAAUGUUAAUUAUAUUUACCAGGGUACUAUUAGUUAAGGUCUUUAAACCCAAAGAAUUUGGCGGUAUCUCAUUCCAUUCAGAGGAACCUACCCCGUGAUUGAUAAUACACGAUUUACUCUACUUAAUUUAUUUGUUUGUAUAUCUCCGUUAUCAGAGAAUCUUUUUAGAGUUAUAAUUCUCAAGAUUUAUAAUUAUAAAAUAUUUCAGGUCAAGGUGCAGCUUAUAGUUAAGAGGAGGUGGGUUACAAUAGAUUUUUGUUUAUAANGGAUUUGAUNGUGAAAUACUGUUAAUGAAGGUGGAUUUGAUAGUAAUUUGAUUUANNNNNNNNNNNC